Molecule: ribosomal RNA, 466 nt
Filed under: uncultured bacterium
Lineage: Bacteria
Description: partial 16S ribosomal RNA
Rfam family: Bacterial small subunit ribosomal RNA
Source: RNAcentral
CGAACGCUGGCGGCGUGCUUACCACAUGCAAGUCGACCGGUGAUGCUCCAGCUUGCUGGAGUGGAUCAGUGGCGAACGGGUGAGUAACACGUGAGCAACCUGCCCCAGACUCUGGAAUAAGCGCUGGAAACGGCGUCUAAUACUGGAUACGAAACUGGCCCGCAUGGGCAUGGUUUGGAAAGUUUUUCGGUUUGGGAUGGGCUCGCGGCCUAUCAGCUUGUUGGUGAGGUAAUGGCUCACCAAGGCGACGACGGGUAGCCGGCCUGAGAGGGCGACCGGCCACACUGGGACUGAGACACGGCCCAGACUCCUACGGGAGGCAGCAGUGGGGAAUAUUGCACAAUGGGCGAAAGCCUGAUGCAGCGACGCCGCGUGAGGGAUGACGGCCUUCGGGUUGUAAACCUCUUUCAGCAGGGAAGAAGCGAAAGUGACGGUACCUGCAGAAGAAGCACCGGCUAACUACGUG